This 336-nucleotide unclassified non-coding RNA is filed under the name soil metagenome. RNAcentral's name for it is "partial contains 5.8S ribosomal RNA, internal transcribed spacer 2, and large subunit ribosomal RNA". The stretch from base 1 to 120 matches the Rfam family "5.8S ribosomal RNA", at positions 35 to 154 of the family's 154-position model. The record is from RNAcentral.
GAUGAAGAACGUAGCGAAAUGCGAUAAGUAAUGUGAAUUGCAGAAUUCAGUGAAUCAUCGAAUCUUUGAACGCACAUUGCGCCCGCCAGUAUUCUGGCGGGCAUGCCUGUUCGAGCGUCAUUUCAACCAUCAAGCCCCCGGCUUGUGUUGGGGACCUGCGGCUGCCGCAGGCCCUGAAAACCAGUGGCGGGCUCGCUGUCACACCGAGCGUAGUAGAUUUUCAUCUCGCUCAGGGCGUGCUGCGGGUUCCGGCCGUAAAAAGCCUUAUUUACCCAAGGUUGACCUCGCAUCAGGUAGGAAGACCCGCUGAACUUAAGCAUAUCAAUAAGCGGAGGA